Molecule: unclassified non-coding RNA, 336 nt
Filed under: soil metagenome
Description: partial contains 5.8S ribosomal RNA, internal transcribed spacer 2, and large subunit ribosomal RNA
Rfam family: 5.8S ribosomal RNA (bases 1-120)
Source: RNAcentral
GAUGAAGAACGUAGCGAAAUGCGAUAAGUAAUGUGAAUUGCAGAAUUCAGUGAAUCAUCGAAUCUUUGAACGCACAUUGCGCCCGCCAGUAUUCUGGCGGGCAUGCCUGUUCGAGCGUCAUCUCAACCAUCAAGCCCCAGGCUUGUGUUGGGGACCUGCGGCUGCCGCAGGCCCUGAAAACCAGUGGCGGGCUCGCUGUCACACCGGGCGUAGUAGAUUUUAUCUCGCUCAGGGCGUGCUGCGGGUUCCGGCCGUUAAAAAGCCUUUUUUACCCAAGGUUGACCUCGGAUCAGGUAGGAAGACCCGCUGAACUUAAGCAUAUCAAUAAGCGGAGGA